ACCUCAACACUCAUAUAGGUGAAUCUAUCAAGUGUACACCACAGUCAAGCACACCACUCAUUCAUGAGCUAUAGAUUCAUUAAGAGAAAAAUUCAACCUCCAUCGCUGUAGUAUACACUAUCCUACACCAUACUAUACCAUAGGGAUGAACUCAAAUAGAAAUUGGAUAGUGUCUUCUCAAAUUGACAAGUGACUUGUUCUUACCCAUAUGAACAUAGCCUUGCGAAUUUUCACAAUUUAUGUUGGGUUACCAUCACUUUCAAUUUUUGUAUUGGACAUAAAUCCAUCCCCCUCGAUGUAUAUAUCAUCCACUAGUUUCUUGCUCAGUGGGAUUAUCACAGGAUCCUUU
Molecule: long non-coding RNA, 349 nt
Filed under: Trifolium pratense (red clover)
Lineage: Eukaryota; Viridiplantae; Streptophyta; Magnoliopsida; Fabales; Fabaceae
Description: long non-coding RNA (TPRA_LNC011853)
Source: RNAcentral